AGAGCGAACGCUGGCGGCAGGCCUAACACAUGCAAGUCGAGCGGCCGUAGCAAUACGGCAGCGGCAGACGGGAUAGUAACACGUGGGAACGCGCCCUUCGGUUCGGAAUAACUCAGGGAAACUUGAGCUAAUACCGGAUACGCCCUUACGGGGAAAGAUUUAUUGCCGAAGGAACGGCCCGCGUCCGAUUAGCUAGUUGGUGAGGUAAUGGCUCACCAAGGCUCCGAUCGGUAGCUGGUCUGAGAGGAUGACCAGCAUCACUGGGACUGAGACACGGCCCAGACUCCUACGGGAGGCAGCAGUGGGGAAUAUUGGGCAAUGGGCGCAAGCCUGAUCCAGCCAUGCCGCGUGGAUGAUGAAGGCCUUAGGGUUGUAAAGUCCUUUUAACGGGGAAGAUAAUGACGGUACCCGUAGAAUAAGCCCGGCUAACUUCGCGCCAGCAGCCGC
RNAcentral lists this ribosomal RNA (447 nucleotides) under uncultured bacterium. Its description in RNAcentral is "SSU rRNA". It matches the Rfam family "Bacterial small subunit ribosomal RNA", at positions 26 to 518 of the family's 1533-position model. The record is from RNAcentral.